This 522-nucleotide ribosomal RNA is filed under the name uncultured bacterium. Its description in RNAcentral is "partial 16S ribosomal RNA". It matches the Rfam family "Bacterial small subunit ribosomal RNA", at positions 28 to 507 of the family's 1533-position model. The record is from RNAcentral.
GAUGAACGCUGGCGGCGUGCCUAAUACAUGCAAGUCGAACGCUUUGUCUUUAAUUGAUAUGAAGAGCUUGCUCUGAUUUGAUUUUAUCUGACAAAGAGUGGCGAACGGGUGAGUAACACGUGGGUAACCUACCUCUUAGCAGGGGAUAACAUUUGGAAACAAGUGCUAAUACCGUAUAACACUAACAACCGCAUGGUUGUUAGUUGCAAGAUGGUUCUGCUAUCACUCAGAGCUGGCCCCGCGGGGCAUCAGCUAGUUGGUAAGGUAAUGGCUUGCCGAGGCGAGGGGGCGUAGCCGGGUGGGGGGGCUGAUCGGCGACAAUGGGACGGAGACACGGCCCAUACUCCUACGGUAGGCAGCAGUAGAGAAUCUUCCACAAUGGGCGCAAGCCUGAUGGAGCAACUCCGCGUGUGUGAUGAAGGGUUUCUGCUCGUAAAACACUGUUAUAAGAGAAGAACGACAUUGAGAGUAACUGUUCAGUGUGUGACGGUAUCUUAUCAGAAAGGAACGGCUAAAUACGUG